GACGAACGCUGGCGGCGUGCUUAACACAUGCAAGUCGAACGGAAAGGCCCUGCUUUUGUGGGGUGCUCGAGUGGCGAACGGGUGAGUAACACGUGAGUAACCUGCCCUUGACUGUGGGAUAACUUCAGGAAACUGGGGCUAAUACCGGAUAGGAGCUCCUGCUGCAUGGUGGGGGUUGGAAAGUUUCGGCGGUUGGGGUUGGACUCGCGGCUUAUCAGCUUGUUGGUGGGGUAGUGGCUUACCAAGGCUUUGACGGGUAGCCGGCCUGCGAGGGUGACCGGCCACAUUGGGCCUGAGAUACGGCCCAGACUCCUACGGGAGGCAGCAGUGGGGAAUAUUGCACAAUGGGCGGAAGCCUGAUGCAGCAACGCCGCGUGCGGGAUGACGGCCUUCGGGUUGUAAACCGCUUUCGCCUGUGACGAAGCGUGAGUGACGGUAAUGGGUAAAGAAGCACCGGCUAACUACGUG
This 468-nucleotide ribosomal RNA is filed under the name uncultured bacterium. Its description in RNAcentral is "partial 16S ribosomal RNA". It matches the Rfam family "Bacterial small subunit ribosomal RNA", at positions 28 to 507 of the family's 1533-position model. The record is from RNAcentral.